UCCGGCUUGUCACCGGCAGUUUCCUCAGAGUGCCCGGCCCUACCCGAUGGCAACUGAGGAUGAGGGUUGCGCUCGUUGCGGGACUUAACCCAACAUCUCACGACACGAGCUGACGACGGCCAUGCAGCACCUGUGCGGACGCCGGCCGAACCGAAGGACCCGAUCUCUCAGGCCCAUACGUCCCAUGUCAAGGGCUGGUAAGGUUCUUCGCGUUGCGUCGAACUAAACCACAUGCUCCACCGCUUGUGCGGGCCCCCGUCAAUUCCUUUGAGUUUUAACCUUGCGGCCGUACUCCCCAGGCGGAAUGCUUCAUGCGUUAGCGGCGACACCGAAGCCCUACGGGCCCCAACGUCUAGCAUUCAUCGUUUACGGCGUGGACUAC
RNAcentral lists this unclassified non-coding RNA (382 nucleotides) under uncultured Alphaproteobacteria bacterium. RNAcentral describes it as "contains 16S-23S intergenic spacer region". The record is from RNAcentral. Lineage: Bacteria; Pseudomonadati; Pseudomonadota; Alphaproteobacteria.